AGGAGAGGAUAGUGUUUAUUAGAUACAGAACCAAUACACCAUUCUUUUAGGAUGGUGUAAAAAAGGUGAUUCAUAGUAACCGAACGGAUCGCAUUAUAGUCAUUUUGUAUGGCUGGCGAUAGAUCAUUCAAGUUUCUGACCUAUCAGCUUUCGACGGUAGUGUAUUGGACUACCGUGGCAGUGACGGGUAACGGGGAAUUAGGGUUCGAUUCCGGAGAGGGAGCCUGAGAAACGGCUACCACAUCUAAGGAAGGCAGCAGGCGCGCAAAUUACCCAAUCCUGACUCAGGGAGGUAGUGACAAGAAAUAACAACACUGGAAAUUUUAUUUCUAGUGAUUGGAAUGAUGGGAAUUUAAACCCCUUUCAGAGUAACAAUUGGAGGGCAAGUCUGGUGCCAGCAGCCGCGGUAAUUCCAGCUCCAAUAGCGUAUAUUAAAGUUGUUGCAGUUAAAAAGCUCGUAGUUGGAUUUCUGCUGGAAGCAA
This 482-nucleotide ribosomal RNA is filed under the name Sarcocystis wapiti. RNAcentral describes it as "SSU rRNA". It matches the Rfam family "Eukaryotic small subunit ribosomal RNA", at positions 192 to 654 of the family's 1831-position model. Lineage: Eukaryota; Apicomplexa; Conoidasida; Eucoccidiorida; Sarcocystidae. The record is from RNAcentral.